GCAAGUCGAACGGGAUUUUUACUUCGGUAAAUCUCUAGUGGCGAACGGGUGAGUAACGCGUGGGCAACCUGCCCUUUAGUUGUGGACAACAUUUCGAAAGGAAUGCUAAUACCGAAUGAGCUUCAUUAGCCGCAUGGCUUUUGAAGGAAAGAUGGCCUCUUUACAAUGCUAUCGCUAGGGGAUGAGCACGCGUUUGAUUAGUUAGUUGGUAGGGUAACGGCCUACCAAGACGAUGAUCAAUAGCCGGUCUGAGAGGAGGAAC
This 262-nucleotide ribosomal RNA is filed under the name uncultured bacterium. RNAcentral describes it as "partial 16S ribosomal RNA". It matches the Rfam family "Bacterial small subunit ribosomal RNA", at positions 57 to 305 of the family's 1533-position model. The record is from RNAcentral.